RNAcentral lists this ribosomal RNA (504 nucleotides) under uncultured bacterium. RNAcentral describes it as "partial 16S ribosomal RNA". It matches the Rfam family "Bacterial small subunit ribosomal RNA", at positions 28 to 507 of the family's 1533-position model. The record is from RNAcentral.
GACGAACGCUGGCGGCGUGCUUAACACAUGCAAGUCGAACGGUGAAGCGCUUGCCUUUUUGGUGGGUGUGGAUGAGUGGCGAACGGGUGAGUAACACGUGAGUAACCUGCCCUCUUCUUCUGGAUAACCUCAUGAAAGUGGGGCUAAUACGGGGUAUUCCGGGUCUGUCGCAUGGCGGGUUUGGGAAAGAUUGCGCCUUUGGGUGUUUUCGGUGGGGGAUGGGCUCGCGGCCUAUUAGCUUGGUGGUGGGGUGAUGGCCUACCAAGGCGGUGACGGGUAGCCGGCCUGAGAGGGUGGACGGCCACACUGGGACUGAGACACGGCCCAGACUCCUGCGGGAGGCAGCAGUGGGGAAGAUUGCACAAUGGGCGCAAGCCUGAUGCAGCGACGCCGCGUGAGGGAUGGAGGCCUUCGGGUUGUGAACCUCUUUCGCCAGUGAAGCAGGCCUGCUCCUGUGUGGGUGGGUUGACGGUAGCUGGAGAAGAAGCGCCGGCUAACUACGUG